RNAcentral lists this small nuclear RNA (155 nucleotides) under Dasypus novemcinctus (nine-banded armadillo). Its description in RNAcentral is "U1 spliceosomal RNA (ENSDNOG00000041647.1)". It matches the Rfam family "U1 spliceosomal RNA". From Rfam's summary of the family: U1 is a small nuclear RNA (snRNA) component of the spliceosome (involved in pre-mRNA splicing). Its 5' end forms complementary base pairs with the 5' splice junction, thus defining the 5' donor site of an intron. The record is from RNAcentral. Lineage: Eukaryota; Metazoa; Chordata; Mammalia; Cingulata; Dasypodidae.
GUGCUUACCUGGCAGGAGAGACACCUCGAUUGCGAAGGUUGGUUUCCCCGGGCGAGGCUCACCCAUUGGGUGCUGCCCCCUGCGAUUUCCCCAAAUGGGUGAAACGCGACUGCAUGAUUGGUGGGAGUGGGGGACUGUGUUCGCACUCUCCCCUA